AUUUAUUUCAAUCAAACGAUCAGUUCACCUACAAUUUGGGUGAUUGAUUCCGGAGUGACAAGCCAUAUUUGUUCAAACCAAUAUGCGUUUAACACUUUGAGACAAAUUCAAAAUACAUUUGUUACUUUGCCUAAUCGUGACAAAAUCCCUGAUUCAAUUUAUUGGAAAUGUGAAGAUAUCGUCUGAAUUGAUUCUUAAGGAUGUAUUGUUUGUGCCUCAAUUCAAAUUGAACUUGCUGUCAGUAAGUGCUUUAACAAGAAAGUCUUCAUUAAGUGUCAGUUUUCUCACUGAUAGUAUUCAAUUCCUGCCAACAUUGAAGACGAUUGGCAAGGGUAAAAGAGCUGGAGACCUCUAUAUAAUUGAUGUAUGUUCCUUUAGUUCAAUGAAAAAUAAUGUUGCUAGUUCAAAUAACUCCUGUAAUUCUACUAACUCUUUUCCUUCUGCUUUAAUUGGAUCAACUCCUGUUAUGAGCUCUUGUAAU
RNAcentral lists this long non-coding RNA (481 nucleotides) under Olea europaea subsp. europaea. The record is from RNAcentral. Lineage: Eukaryota; Viridiplantae; Streptophyta; Magnoliopsida; Lamiales; Oleaceae.